RNAcentral lists this ribosomal RNA (917 nucleotides) under uncultured bacterium. Its description in RNAcentral is "bacterial SSU rRNA". It matches the Rfam family "Bacterial small subunit ribosomal RNA", at positions 554 to 1461 of the family's 1533-position model. The record is from RNAcentral.
CUGGGCUUAAAGCGCGUGUAGGCGGGACGGAUAGUGUCGGGUGAAAGCCCUUGAAUCAACCAAGGAAUGGCUUGGCAUACUUCCGUUCUUGAGGUCGGUAGAGGUCGCUAGAACGACGGGUGGAGCGGUGAAAUGCGUAGAUAUCCGUUGGAAUGCCGGUGGCGAAAGCGGGCGACUGGACCGAUCCUGACGCUGAGACGCGAAAGCGUGGGGAGCAAACAGGAUUAGAUACCCUGGUAGUCCACGCCGUAAACGAUGCGCACUAGGAAUGAGAGGCUCUGACGCCGAUCGUUCCGAAGCAAAAGUGCUAAGUGCGCCGCCUGGGGAGUACGGCCGCAAGGCUAAAACUCAAAGGAAUUGACGGGGGCUCACACAAGCGGUGGAGUAUGUGGAUUAAUUCGAAGCAACGCGCAGAACCUCACCUGGGUUUGACAUGCUAGGAUGCCCUUUGGGAAACCAGAGUAAGCUGCCUUCGGGUGAAACUAGCACAGGUGCUGCAUGGCUGUCGUCAGCUCGUGCUGUGAAGUGUCGGGUUAAGUCCCUUAACGAGCGAAACCCCUAUCGUUAGUUGCCAACGGGUCAUGCCGGGAACUCUAGCGAGACCGCCGGUGUCAAACCGGAGGAAGGCGGGGAUGACGUCAAGUCAUCAUGGCCUUUAUGCCCAGGGCGUCACACGUACUACAAUGGAUGCGACAGAGCGAAGCGAGACCGCGAGGUGGAGCAAAUCGCACAAACGCAUCCUCAGUUCAGAUCGGAGUCUGCAACCCGACUCCGUGAAGUUGGAAUCGCUAGUAAUCGCGGAUCAGCCACGCCGCGGUGAAUGUGUUCCUGAGCCUUGUACACACCGCCCGUCAAGUCAUGGGAGUUGGGAGUACCCGAAGUCCGUUUAGCAAACCGCAAGGGUGCGGCGGCCGACG